AGAGGGGGAGAAAAGGAACAGCUUAGAAACCUGCUCAUGGAACAAUUCUCACUAGUUAGAACCUGAGAACUCUUGGGGCUCUGAGCCUGCUCUCAACCAUAUCAGUGAAACUUCAUUAACUUGGACAUAGUUACUCUUGGUUCACACCAAAGGAAAAUCAAGUGGGGUGGGGGGGGGGACGACACCCUGGUUUUUCAGAAGCACUGAGCACCUGUGAGUCCAAUUGUCUCCAGAAGGAGUUGCAGCUGCCCAGUAUAUGUGGCCAUUAUCAGU
Mauremys mutica (yellowpond turtle) is the source of this 273-nucleotide long non-coding RNA. RefSeq lists it as uncharacterized. The record is from RefSeq and is a predicted model, not a curated record. The transcript has 3 exons. NCBI's taxonomy places the organism in Eukaryota, Metazoa, Chordata, Testudines, Geoemydidae.